GGUUUGAUCAUGGCUCAGAUUGAACGCUGGCGGGAUGCUUUACACAUGCAAGUCGAACGGCAGCACGGACUUCGGUCUGGUGGCGAGUGGCGAACGGUGAGUAAUGUAUCGGAACGUGCCUAGUAGCGGGGGAUAACUACGCGAAAGCGGCUAAUACUGCAUACGCCCUUCGGGGGAAAGCGGGGGACCUUCGGGCCUCGCACUAUUAGAGCGGCUGAGUAUCGGAUUAGCUAGUUGGUGGGGUAACGGCUCACCAAGGCGACGAUCCGUAGCUGGUUUGAGAGGACGACCAGCCACACUGGGACUGAGACACGGCCCAGACUCCUACGGGAGGCAGCAGUGGGGAAUUUUGGACAAUGGGGGAAACCCCUCGAUCCAGCCAUCCCGCGUGUGCGAUGAAGGCCUUCGGGUUGUAAAGCACUUUUGGCAGGAAGAAACGGCACGGGAUAAUACCCCGUGCAACUGACGGUACCUGCAGAAUAAGCACCGGCUAACUACGUGCCAGCAGUCGCGGUAAUACGUAGGGUGCAAGCGUUAAUCGGAAUUACUGGGCGUAAAAGCGUGCGCAGGCGGUUCGGAAAGAAAGAUGUGAAAUCCCAGAGCUUAACUUUGGAACUGCAUUUUUAACUACCGGAGCUAGAGUGUGUCAGAGGGAGGUGGAAUUCCGCGUGUAGCAGUGAAAUGCGUAGAUAUGCGGAGGAACACCGAUGGCGAAGGCAGCUUCCUGGAUAACACUGAUGCUCAUGCACGAAAGCGUGGGGAGCAAACAGGAUUAGAUACCCUGGUGUCCACGCCCUAAACGAUGUCAACUAGCUGUUGGGGCCUUCGGGCCUUGGUAGCGCAGCUAACGCGUGAAGUUGACCGCCUGGGGAGUACGGUCGCAAGAUUAAAACUCAAAGGAAUUGACGGGACCCGCACAAGCGGUGGAUGAUGAUUAAUUCGAUGCAACGCGAAAAACCUUACCUACCCUUGACAUGUCUGGAAUCCCGAAGAGAUUUGGGGAGUGCUCGCAAGAGAACCGGAACACAGGUGCUGCAUGGCUGUCGUCAGCUCGUGUCGUGAGAUGUUGGGUUGUCUCGCAACGAGCGCAACCCUUGUCAUUAGUUGCUACGAAAGGGCACUCUAAUGAGACUGCCGGUGACAAACCGAGGAAGGUGGGGAUGACGUCAAGUCCUCAUGGCCCUUAUGGGUAGGGCUUCACACGUCAUACAAUGGUCGGGACAGAGGGUCGCCAACCCGCGAGGGGGAGCCAAUCCCAGAAACCCGAUCGUAGUCCGGAUCGCAGUCUGCAACUCGACUGCGUGAAGUCGGAAUCGCUAUAAUCGCGGAUCAGCAUGUCGCGGUGAAUACGUUCCCGGGUCUUGUACACACCGCCCGUCACACCAUGGAGUGGGUUUUACCAGAAGUAGUUAGCCUAACCGUAAGGAGGGCGAUUACCACGGUAGGAUUCAUGACUGGGGUGAAGUCGUAACAAGGUAA
RNAcentral lists this ribosomal RNA (1479 nucleotides) under uncultured Bordetella sp. RNAcentral describes it as "partial 16S-23S ribosomal RNA intergenic spacer". It matches the Rfam family "Bacterial small subunit ribosomal RNA". The record is from RNAcentral. Lineage: Bacteria; Pseudomonadati; Pseudomonadota; Betaproteobacteria; Burkholderiales; Alcaligenaceae.